GGAGGUAGUCUGAGGCGGUAUCUUUCCUGAGCUCAGCAGCCACUCCAGCAGAAAGGCAUUCAGAGAAAUCUGACUCUGUUGCACUCACCAGGGCCAAGCGAUGGGGAUGCUCCUUCAAGUGCUUGUUGGGCUAUUGAUGUUUCCGGCUGUCUGGGUCAACACCCAAAAGUUGCAGCAGAGUCCUCAGUCUCUGACAAUCCAAGAAGGAGAUGAACUCACCAUGAGCUGCAACUCAUCGUCGUCUUUAUAUGCCUUACACUGGUACAGGCAGGGGAGGGAUGGCGGUCCCAUCUUCUUGGUGACAUUACAGAAAGGAGGCGAUGAGAAACGCAAGGACAAAAUAACUGCUAAACUGGAUAAGAAAAUGCGGCAAAGUUUCUUGAGUAUCCAAGCCUCCCAGCCCAGCUACGCAGGCACUUACCUCUGUGCAGGGAGCGCACAGUGGUCUAUAGACUGCCGCGGGCUGUCUCCAAACCUGCAGCUGGGCCACAGCUGCUCUGACACAGGGCCCCUGAGGCAGGACUAGAGCACUUGCCAAAAUGAGAGACUCGAGGGUGCAGUUGUCUCCCUACAUAGCAGGUACAGCUGUCUCGUCCCAUCGGAGGAGUGGGCAUGAUGCAGUGGAAAGCUGUGUGUUUAGUUAGCAUUUAAAAGGACUUUUUUUUUUACCAGUAAUGUUGCUUUUCAGUGGGUAAAACCUCAAGCUGUUCAAAUUUUCAAAUACACAAAUGGCACGAAUUGCAGUAAUUUAAACAUAUGCGCAAAUCCCAUGCCUCAUUGUUCCGAGGAAGGCGCUUCCCUCCUGCUGUUUAACCUACCUUACUAACAGAAACUCUGAGCCGUUCCCUAUGCCUUUGGGAACAUGCUAAGACUAUUUCACGACUCUUGGCAAGGCAGUACUGUUAGAGAGAAGACUCAUUACAGGCAGAAGUUCUUUCAACAUUUACAUGGUGAAUACAGAAAUUACCCAACUGAUCGAAAGACAGAUGAAUAGCGACCUCACCGGCCUUAGCCUGCCCCGCUAGUCUCAUUCGCAUUCCAUUCUCUGGAUUUCCCCGAGCACAUGGAACUAGACGAUCUUCCUACUUUGCUUCAAUACGAAAAGGAGCAACAGCUUCCUUCAUCUACUCGCUCCACACCUCUUAGACUGCUGAGCCUGUUCCAAAGCACUGACCUAAGUCGAGCAAAGUCGGUAGGCUAGAGGGAAAGAGUUCUUGUACCUCUUGAAGAUGCUAAAAUGCUCAAGCAAGGAAGGAAGCAGGCCUGAUGGUUGCAGAGUAUGUGAGGGCCAACCAAGACCUAUGCAUUUCUAAGGUUUCAUUUUCCCCUUAUAAAACUGACACAAUCAUACUAUUUCGCUCAUGCGAAUUACAUGUUAAGCAACGGAUACAUUAUCUACACUUCACUUAAUAGUUAGAAUAAUAUUUUCUUUUUCUUUUGUUUUCCUUUUUUUUCCAGUAUAAAGCUUUGAGGAAGGGGACAAGGGACAGGACCCAUCCUUGGCAGCCACUUUCCUUAAGGUGCUGAUACCUGUUACCCCAUGGUAUAAAUGUGCAUCCCUUCUACUUGUCCUUGGAGACCUUGAGCAGCUCCAAGGCAUACAAAGUGCAUACAUCUAGAAUCACACAACGGAGCCUCUGCUUGCGGACUUUCUCCAUCACUUUGUGACCACUAUCAAGGCGCUGGGGCAGCACAAGGCAAUGGCUACUCUUCUUUGAUGGCAGCAGAGGCAGGAAGGACCUAAAAAUAAUAUUUACACCGUUAAUAAAAUGGCAGUCUCAAAU
Molecule: non-coding RNA, 1784 nt
Organism: Rattus norvegicus (Norway rat)
Lineage: Eukaryota; Metazoa; Chordata; Mammalia; Rodentia; Muridae
Source: the annotation of a RefSeq genome assembly